Molecule: non-coding RNA, 74 nt
Organism: Pangasianodon gigas (Mekong giant catfish)
Lineage: Eukaryota; Metazoa; Chordata; Actinopteri; Siluriformes; Pangasiidae
Source: the annotation of a GenBank genome assembly
GGCAGUGGCAGCUAAGUGGUUAAGGUGUUGGACUACUGAUUGGAAGGUCAUGAAUUCAAAUCUCAGCACUGCCA